GCUCCAGACAAGCAGCAAAACCAGACAAGGGACACCAUGCCUGACAUCAGGACCAGCUGCAUCGGCUAAUGACCCCUACCCUGGUGCCAACCAAUGAGGGGAGACCACAAUCGUGAAAGAACAUGUUUGGAAAACUGCUGAAUAUUCUAUUGAGAUCGUCCUCUAGGACCUCCUGAUGAACACCCUCAAGACGGAGGACCCAGUGCAGCUCUCGGCAAUCAAUAAGGAUGGGAUAAAUAAAUGAACGAGUGAGUGAGUGAAGAGACUAAUGAACACCUUCCAUGCUGACUGAUGCACAGGAUGUGUUAUAUACUUCAUUUGACGUUGCCCAAAUAACAAGCAAGUGGUGGAACAUCCAAUAACUCGAAGAAGCAUCUCUGAACCUCGUAAGGUCCACCCUGGGCUUCAUGGGCACCCACUGAGCGCAG
Long non-coding RNA from Artibeus jamaicensis (Jamaican fruit-eating bat), 428 nucleotides. RefSeq lists it as uncharacterized. The record is from RefSeq and is a predicted model, not a curated record. Lineage: Eukaryota; Metazoa; Chordata; Mammalia; Chiroptera; Phyllostomidae. The transcript has 3 exons.